Molecule: long non-coding RNA, 2223 nt
Filed under: Diabrotica virgifera virgifera (western corn rootworm)
Lineage: Eukaryota; Metazoa; Arthropoda; Insecta; Coleoptera; Chrysomelidae
Description: uncharacterized LOC126878905
Source: RNAcentral
UGGAGAAUUGAGUUUUUAUUUAGUUGUCAAUAAUUUUAAGUACAAUUUUGAUUAUUAUAAAUUAAAAUAUGAGCGAAAGUGAAUUUGAAGAAAUUGAACGGGCUUGGGAAGAAGGGUGUUCCGUAAUUAUUCCCGAAAAAUCCAAAAUCCGUUAUCAAAAUACCUACCAAAGUUUUAAAAAAUGGUGCGAAGGCAAGAAUUUAAGAAUCGAAGAAAAGACUAUUGGCAUAUUUCGUUCAAAGACAUAUGCAGAAAGCUCCUGGAAGCCUCUGGGCAGAAUAUUCAAUGAUUAAAUCCACCGUUUUUCUUUAUGAUGGCAUUGAUAUUUCCAAGUUUUCAACUUUGAUCGCGUAUUUGAAGAGAAAAAAUGUUGGCUAUAGGCCUAAGAAAGCGAGCAUUUUUACACGGGAGCAAUUUGAAAAAUUUCUGAUGGAAGCAACGGAUGAAGAAUUUCUAGUUCACAAGGUAAUAUAAGCUAGUUUAGGUAAAAGAAAUACUCUAAUGAAGAUUUUUUCAUAAUUUGUAGGUCGCAAUGAUAUUGGGAAUAUCUGGUGCCUGUAGAAGAGAAGAAUUAUAUAAUAUUACUAUGAAUGACAUCCAACAAACCGAUGGUUUAAUGAUUGUAAAAGUACCCAAUAUAAAAACGAACAUCCAGCGUACUUUUACAGUCGGUAAUAAACCAGACGAUAAAAUUCCAUAUUUAGAAAUUCUGCAAAAUAAUUUAACAAAUUGUACCAUAAGUUUCAAUAUUAAUAAAUAAUUCGUUAGUUUUCUUUAUUCUUUCAAAAAAUAAAUUAAAAUUAAGAGAUUUUUUAACUCGACGGUAAGUGAAUUACUUACCGUCGAGUUGGAGUACAGUAAAACCUCGAUAUAACGGACCUCUAUUUAACGGACUUCGGAUAUAACGGACCAAAAAUAAGGUCAAAUGUAAAAAAAUUUAAAACGUCCUGUUAAUCUUAUACAUACUUAACCCUGCCUUUACUAACAUACAUUGCAUAAUAACGGGGUCCCCUUGGAUCCCAAACGUUGUAUUUUACAAAGAAUUUCAAUAAACUUUUUAUUAUAGCAAAAUGAGGACACAUUUCCAAAUAAUCUGAUUUAUUUUAAAGCUAUUUUUAUAUAACGGACUUUCGGCUUCCCUUCAAUUAGUCCGUUGUAUCGAGGUUUUACUGUACUUACCGUCGAGUUGGAUUACUUACCGUCGAGUUGCUAGUAAAUGUCACCUACUGACGUAAAAUCUGUCACGGUAAACAGUCAAAAAUGAUCAAUCGUGCAAAAAAAGACUUACCAGCUUUGAAAUGUGGAAAAUAUGGACACAACACAUAACGAACACGGAAAUGUUAAGAAAGAUGAAAAAAGAAAUACUCAACACAGUGAAGGAAAGGAAAAUGAGCUACUUUGGUGACAUACUAAGAAAUAAAAAAUUAUGAGAUGAUGCGAUUGGUUAUACAAGAGAAAGUAGAAGGAAGAAGAGGACCGGGGAGACGACGCACGUCCUGGUAGAAAAAUUUAAAGCAGUGGACUGGAAAAACAACAAUAUAACUCUUUAGAACCGCUGCAGACAGAAUAAAAUGGGCCAUGAUGAUCGCCAAUGUCCUUAAAGGAUGAGACUGUAACGUUUCAAUCAGCCGAUUGAACGCUACAGGUAUUUGUCCCUCGGACUAUAUAUUUCUAGAAGCGACCCUACUACCGUCAAGUCAAUUAGUACAUCUCUUCGAAGCUAUUUAAUGCGAUAAAAAUUUGUACUAGCUCCCUUUUGCCAUUGCCACGUAAAUCAGGCACAAUAUUCGCAUACAUUAUCGUGUUUGUGUGUAGGCCGUUAAACAAUGGCCCCUACCUCGGGAAGAAGAUUUUAAUCAAGCACCUGGAAAAGAAAACCUUCUACCGCUACCUUGGAGAGCGAAUUAGCUUACAACCGUAUCCUGAUGCACUAGAAUAAAUUAAACAAGACAGCCCUACAGAGACAAGACAGACCAACAACGUAGCCCUAGACUUCCCUUAACUGCCGGCGACGACAAAUUCUACAGGGAUUGGGGACCUCCUUUAGGAACUGUGACGGAAGGACUUAAAGCUGAGUAAAUUUUUACCUUUAUAACUUUUGUACCGAUUACCAGCGGGGUCUCGGUCACGGGCUUAGAAAAUUAACUUGGUUAUCAGUAUACAAUAAAAAUGAUUUUUGUUAAGUUUUUUUUAUAUUUCAAUAAAUAGCGUAUUUAAAAAUGA